AUGGAGGUCUUGGAGUUAGGCACUGCCUAUUUGGAAAGGCAGAAGAGCUGGGCAGCAGGACUCCCCGCCACACUUGUGCCUUUGGCGAGUGCCUCACCAUGGCCUGCACGUUGGGGUGAGCAGACCUCCCAUGUAGGGCCAUUUUGUGCCACUGGGAUCCACAGUGCUGAAGCAGCCCGGGGGCGGGAGAGCGCCAGCGUUUCUGCUUCCUGCAUCCUGGGGAUCGCAGCUGUGAAGCAGAGCAGGGCGCGCUUUCCGAUGCAUCUCAAAUAUAGUCCUGAAUGCAGCUUCUGUCAUGAAGAGAUAUUUCCUAAACAGACUCCAUACCCCCACUUUCCAUCUGAUAAUCAUCUCCUUGUGCUUGUGAGACAUGCGCUUUACUUAAAAGACAGCAGCUCCCAUACCAGCUCUCUGUGCUAUCUACUGAGGACAGCAUAUGCUUAUCUCCCCGAUUUAGCAAGGAAGGAAGGAGAAACAUGAUGCAGAACUAUCCGUUUCCGGCUGGUGGGGGAGGCAAGGGCAGAGUCCCUGCACACCAGUGACCCCAUGCACCAUGAGAAAACAUCAGUGGGCAUUGCCCUUGAGCUACAAGGUGCUUGGGGCAGACUCAGAUGUCUUCUCUGUAGACAGCACCUUGCUGUAGUCCUGCAGUUUCUGCUGUAGGAUGGGGUAUGGCACACUGUUUUUUGGGCAUGCUUUUCAGAAUGCAAAAGAAACUGAAAAAACACUCUCCAGAUACACAACCAGUUCAUCCAGCUUUGGUUCUGCCAGCACAGCCACCCUGGGUGGCCACGUGCUGGGCCUCUCCUUGCUUUCCUUCUAUAACUGACCCUCUGGGAAGCCUGAGGAGCCAAAUACACUGAGGAAUGGUGAUGGGGAAAAAACUAAUCUCCAGGGAGUUUGUAAGAGGACAACAGUGGUGUUUUCUUACCUCUUCCUCUCAAAUACACUUUUCCUGUCACUCUUGAAAACUGACUGAGUCUGUGAGACUUAUCCUGUCCUUUGCUGUGAAAACAAAGAGGAGAAGGGAGGCUCGAAGUUGGGAGAAAGUGGAGUCAAAAUACAAGGAGAACAGGAAGAGUGUAACAGAAAGAGGGUAAAAAAAGGAAAGAAAGGUAAGAAAUGAUCCAGGAGCUUAGGGCAAGGUGUGUGGAAGAACAGAAGGGAUGGGAGAAAGGACAAGAAAGAGAAUGCGGAAAAUGACAGAUACAAUAACAAAAACAGAAGGAGGUGUAAGCCAUUUUGAAGGCAGUCAUUGAGUGUUUUGAAAGGGUGUGAGUGGGAAAGUGGAAAUGUGAGAAAGGGACAGAGCACAAUGAGUUGCACUACGUUCCUGUGCAGAGAAUGGAAAGCCAAGUGCUAAUGCACACCCAAACAACAAGGGGAACCCUGGCCUUGCAGGAGCAAAGGGGAUGUUGGUGCCAUGGGACAGAAUUUCAUCUUGUGCUAAAGGCACAGAUGGGCCAUGUGAUAAGCUUUG
Molecule: long non-coding RNA, 1480 nt
Filed under: Numida meleagris (helmeted guineafowl)
Lineage: Eukaryota; Metazoa; Chordata; Aves; Galliformes; Numididae
Description: lncRNA (ENSNMEG00000006009.1)
Source: RNAcentral